GGGAUGGGAAAGAAGCACUCACACAACCCCUGAGAAUCGGCAACAGAGUUCUUUAUUGUCAGGACAUCUUGCAGGUGAGCCUGCAGGGUGUCUGUGGUGUUUCGUGGCUCCAAGCUAAUGCUUGGGAUGGAGCCUGAGCAACGAGUAGGGAGCUCGCCGGGCACUGCUGCGACGCUGUUUGAGCGCUCGGAAGACAGGUAGCAAAGACCUGCCGGGGUAGUUCCAGGUCUGCUCUGGCCGAGGUGGAUCCACUUCCAUUGAUUCCUCCACAUCUGGUGGAUCCAUCUCCAUGGGCUCCACGGUGUUUGGCAGAAGGACAAGCCAGCCCUUGCCCGGGACUGCCCAAACAGGAUGCCUUCCAUCGGGAAUGUUUUCAGGCCAGGGUGCUGAACCAGGGGGUCGUCCAGUUCCACGCUGAGGUCCCAUGCCACUGUCCAGUUGAUUUCCAUGCAUGGGUUCAACAUUGCCGUCUGUUUCACGGCCAUGGCUGGGUCCCACACUGUGUUCUGGACGAUUGGCAUGCCUCCGCUCCCGCGGCUGUCUGCCUGGCGCUCCUGCCUUUGCCCCAAGCCACCGUUGUUCCAAUGGUCAGACCCAGGCCCCCUGUCGCUGUGUGUUUGAGGGGCCGGCCUGUUCCCUGCGUCAUUGCGGUGCCAAUGGUACCGCCUGUAAGUGUCUGUGGGCUGUGCGCCAGAGGUCCCUCGAGCACUGGUGUCAGUUGUGCUGCAGGCGCUUUCCCUCUGCCCACAACACUUCUUCUCGUUAGGUGCGUUCCUUCUCGGUGCUUCCUUGGACUGCAUAGCUGUCCUCUCACACCGAGGAGGCCUGCUGCUCGCCUUGCUGUUUCUAGUCGUCUUCCUGCCACACAAGAUGGCUGUCAGAGGGCCUAGAAGCUCAGUGAGUGGUGGGACAGCUGCAGGGGUCCUGUUUUAUAGGGCCCAGAGCAAAGGCAGGGCAGUGGUGGCCACUGUGACCUCAGCAAGGCUCUGUGAUGGAGUGGCCCACACGUGGCCAAAGGCGGCGGUGUUGGGAGCAGCCUGGAAGAUGCCCUCACGUGGAAGAAGAAGGAGGGUUGGGGGGGCUGAGGGCCCCUUUCUGGGGCUGGCUCCCCCAGGCCAUUUGGCUUGCCAGAGAGAAAGGCUGCCCCUCAGCCACAGGGUCUGCCCUCCACCUCCCAUCCUGUGCCCUGGGUUUAUUUUUAACACCGUUUUUAAGCUUGUUUUCUCAUGCAAGAAGGGAAAGAAAAGUGAGGCAGAGGAAAAAAGAUACGCUUUGAGCACCUGUGCUUCAAUGCACAGAGCUUUUCUAAAAGGGACUACCAGAACUGCCCUGGUGCUGAUGCUCGCC
Molecule: long non-coding RNA, 1347 nt
Filed under: Anser cygnoides (Swan goose)
Lineage: Eukaryota; Metazoa; Chordata; Aves; Anseriformes; Anatidae
Description: lncRNA (ENSACDG00005002665.1)
Source: RNAcentral